RNAcentral lists this ribosomal RNA (253 nucleotides) under uncultured bacterium. Its description in RNAcentral is "partial 16S ribosomal RNA". It matches the Rfam family "Bacterial small subunit ribosomal RNA", at positions 524 to 776 of the family's 1533-position model. The record is from RNAcentral.
UACGGGGGUCCCAAGCGUUGUUCGGAUUCACUGGGCGUAAAGGGUGCGUAGGUGGCCAUGUAAGUUUGAUGUGAAAGCUCCGGGCUCAACCCGGAAAAGGCAUUGAAUACUGCGUGGCUUGAGGAUCGGAGGGGAGAAUGGAAUUCUCGGUGUAGCAGUGAAAUGCGUAGAUAUCGAGAGGAACACCAAUGGCGAAGGCAAUUCUCUGGACGAUUCCUGACACUGAGGCACGAAGGCUAGGGGAGCAAACAGG